This 402-nucleotide ribosomal RNA is filed under the name uncultured bacterium. RNAcentral describes it as "bacterial SSU rRNA". It matches the Rfam family "Bacterial small subunit ribosomal RNA", at positions 355 to 775 of the family's 1533-position model. The record is from RNAcentral.
UGGGGAAUAUUGCACAAUGGGCGAAAGCCUGAUGCAGCAACGCCGCGUGAGCGAUGAAGGCCUUCGGGUCGUAAAGCUCUGUCCUCAAGGAAGAUAAUGACGGUACUUGAGGAGGAAGCCCCGGCUAACUACGUGCCAGCAGCCGCGGUAAUACGUAGGGGGCUAGCGUUAUCCGGAAUUACUGGGCGUAAAGGGUGCGUAGGUGGUUUCUUAAGUCAGAGGUGAAAGGCUACGGCUCAACCGUAGUAAGCCUUUGAAACUGAGAAACUUGAGUGCAGGAGAGGAGAGUAGAAUUCCUAGUGUAGCGGUGAAAUGCGUAGAUAUUAGGAGGAAUACCAGUUGCGAAGGCGGCUCUCUGGACUGUAACUGACACUGAGGCACGAAAGCGUGGGGAGCAAACAG